RNAcentral lists this transfer RNA (73 nucleotides) under Planctomycetia bacterium. Its description in RNAcentral is "tRNA-Cys". It matches the Rfam family "tRNA". From Rfam's summary of the family: Transfer RNA (tRNA) molecules are approximately 80 nucleotides in length. Their secondary structure includes four short double-helical elements and three loops (D, anti-codon, and T loops). Lineage: Bacteria; Pseudomonadati; Planctomycetota; Planctomycetia. The record is from RNAcentral.
GGCGUCGUAGCCAAACGGCUAAGGCAGCGGAUUGCAAAUCCGCAAUUUACCGGUUCGAAUCCGGUCGACGCCU